Long non-coding RNA from Mustela erminea (ermine), 1205 nucleotides. RefSeq lists it as uncharacterized. Lineage: Eukaryota; Metazoa; Chordata; Mammalia; Carnivora; Mustelidae. The transcript is spliced from 3 exons. The record is from RefSeq and is a predicted model, not a curated record.
UGUACACAACCCUGUUUUGUCUCCUAGAAAUUCCAAAUGACUUAGCAUCUCCAAUACAUCAUCAGUCAGGACCUCCUGGGGCCCUGCUGGCAUCCCCCCACACACUCACCUUGGAUCCAGCCCAAGAGAGAAGAUGGAGCAGGCAGGCAGUCUGGGCAGAAAAGCACCAGGGCUCAAAGCCCAUAGUCAGAGAGGACAUCCCUCAGAAGGAGCUGAUCCAGCCACGUGUGAACAUUAACCCUGACACAGAUGUGCCACACUUCCCACAGAAGCUUCUCCGGACUGAGCCCAUCACCUGUGUGUGGCAAGCCCUGACCUGAAGAUGGGCAGCCUAUGUGCUGAUUCGCUGGCCUGGAGGAGCUUUUACAUGUCUGAAACACCUAUAAAGAGGAGAGAAAAAAUAGGUUUCAAGCUGAAAUGGCCACUCGCCUAUUUUGGAAAGAGCCCCGGGGUACUGUGUCAUAAAAUGCCUACUGUGUGCUGAGUGGUGACGCUAGAUAGAGUGCACACUGCCUGUGUGGCCUGGGCUGCAGGGUCUGCCAGCCAUCAGCUACUGAACGAUCCUAUUAAGGACUUAGAGUACCCAAAAGAAGAUUGUAGUUAUUGAUGGAAAGAUGUGUCUUCAUUCUAAUCAUGACAAAAUAUCAGAAAUACCCCAAAUGAGGGAUCUCCCCUAUUCUCCUAAAAAUGCUAGUGCCAGGCAAGACAAGCUAGGCGAGGAAUUGUUUCAGAUUACAGAAGAUCAAGGAGACCUAACAGCCAGACACAAUGAGCACUACUGGAUGGGAUCCUGGAUGGAGGGAAAAGACACUGCUUGAAAGGAUAUAACUGAGGCAAAGGACACAAUUUGAAUAUGGAUUGUGACCCCAUAUCAGUGCAAUUCUAUUAUACUUGUAUCAAUACAAUGCUAUUAUAUCAAUGUUAAAUCUCCUGAAUUGAAUAACUGUAUUUGGUUAUAUUUUCAGGAAAUAGAAGCUAAAAUAUUUAAAGAUAAACUAACUCUCAAAUGGUUUGGGGGAAAAUGUGCAAGCAUAUAUGUAUAUGUGUGUGUGUGUGUGUGUGUGUGUGUGUGUGUGUGUAUGAGAGAAGAAAGGGGACAGAAAUGGCAAAGCAAUGAGUGUGAGUCCAGAAUCCAACAGGGUUUCACUGAACUAUUCUUACAAUUCUUGUUUUAAGCUUUACAUUAUUUUAUUUUCGAAGGAAUA